UACGGGGGGGGUAAGCGUUGUUCGGAAUUACUGGGCGUAAAGGGCUCGUAGGCGGCCAACUAAGUCAUACGUGAAAUCCCUCAGCUUAACUGGGGAACUGCGUGUGAUACUGGAUGGCUUGAGUUUGGGAGAGGGAUGCGGAAUUCCAGGUGUAGCGGUGAAAUGCGUAGAUAUCUGGAGGAACACCGGUGGCGAAGGCGGCAUCCUGGACCAACACUGACGCUGAUGAGCGAAAGCCAGGGGAGCAAACGGG
RNAcentral lists this ribosomal RNA (253 nucleotides) under uncultured bacterium. RNAcentral describes it as "partial 16S ribosomal RNA". It matches the Rfam family "Bacterial small subunit ribosomal RNA", at positions 524 to 776 of the family's 1533-position model. The record is from RNAcentral.